Molecule: ribosomal RNA, 253 nt
Filed under: uncultured bacterium
Lineage: Bacteria
Description: partial 16S ribosomal RNA
Rfam family: Bacterial small subunit ribosomal RNA
Source: RNAcentral
UACGUAGGGUGCAAGCGUUGUCCGGAAUUAUUGGGCGUAAAGGGCUCGUAGGCGGUCUGUCACGUCGGGAGUGAAAACUCAGGGCUUAACCCUGAGCCUGCUUCCGAUACGGGCAGACUAGAGGUAUGCAGGGGAGAACGGAAUUCCUGGUGUAGCGGUGAAAUGCGCAGAUAUCAGGAGGAACACCGGUGGCAAAGGCAGCCCCCUGGGCUGAGAUUGACGCUCAGGCACGAAAGCGUGGGGAGCAAACAGG